Molecule: non-coding RNA, 82 nt
Organism: Acinetobacter bouvetii
Lineage: Bacteria; Pseudomonadati; Pseudomonadota; Gammaproteobacteria; Moraxellales; Moraxellaceae
Source: Rfam
GGGGACGUGGCGAAAUUGGUAGACGCACUGGAUUUAGGUUCCAGCGCCGCAAGGUGUGAGAGUUCGAGUCUCUCCGUCCCCA